CCUACGGGUGGCUGCAGUGGGGAAUAUUGGGCAAUGGGCGCAAGCCUGACCCAGCAACGCCGCGUGAAGGAAGAAGGCUUUCGGGUUGUAAACUUCUUUUGACAGGGAAGAGCAACAUACGGUACCUGUAGAAUUAACCACGGCUAACUACGUUCCAGCAGCCGCGGUAAUACGUAGGGGGCAAGCGUUGUCCGGAUUUACUGGGUGUAAGGGGCGUGUAGCCGGGCUGACAAGUCAGAUGGGAAAUCCGUGGGCUCAACCCGCGAACUGCAGUUGAAACUGUUGGUCUGGAGUAUAGGAGAGGCAGGCGGAAUUCCUAGUGUAGCGGUGAAAUGCGUAGAUAUUAGGAGGAACACCAGUGGCGAAGGCGGCCUGCUGGACGGCAACUGACGGUGAGGCGCGAAAGCGUGGGGAGCAAACAGGAUUAGAUACCCGUGUAGUC
Molecule: ribosomal RNA, 442 nt
Filed under: uncultured bacterium
Lineage: Bacteria
Description: partial 16S ribosomal RNA
Rfam family: Bacterial small subunit ribosomal RNA
Source: RNAcentral